RNAcentral lists this ribosomal RNA (497 nucleotides) under uncultured archaeon. RNAcentral's name for it is "bacterial SSU rRNA". It matches the Rfam family "Archaeal small subunit ribosomal RNA", at positions 93 to 593 of the family's 1478-position model. The record is from RNAcentral.
GUAACACGUAGUCAACAUGCCCAGGGGACGUGGAUAACCUCGGGAAACUGAGGAUAAACCGCGAUAAGCCAUGAUUUCUGGAAUGAUUCAUGACUAAAACCUAUAUGGCCCCUGGAUUGGACUGCGGCCGAUCAGGCUGUUGGUGAGGUAAUGGCCCACCAAACCUAUUACCGGUACGGGCUCUGAGAGGAGGAGCCCGGAGAUGGGCACUGAGACAAGGGCCCAGGCCCUAUGGGGCGCAGCAGGCGCGAAACCUCUGCAAUAGGCGAAAGCUUGACAGGGUUACUCUGAGUGAUUUCCGCUAAGGGAAUCUUUUGGCACCUCUAAAAAUGGUGCAGAAUAAGGGGUGGGCAAGUCUGGUGUCAGCCGCCGCGGUAAUACCAGCACCCCGAGUGGUCGGGACGAUUAUUGGGCCUAAAGCAUCCGUAGCCGGUCCUGCAAGUCUUCCGUUAAAUCCAGCUGCUUAACAGAUGGGCCGCGGGAGAUACUACAGGGCU